This 482-nucleotide unclassified non-coding RNA is filed under the name Hevea brasiliensis (rubber tree). Lineage: Eukaryota; Viridiplantae; Streptophyta; Magnoliopsida; Malpighiales; Euphorbiaceae. The record is from RNAcentral.
GGAAGAUCCUCUGCUGGAAACUCUGGAUAAAGUAAUUCAUAAGGAUGCAUCCGUCCAUACGAAUUCCUUGGAUUCGAAUGGCAGCUUGGUUAUUGAGCCUCUUCCCGGGCUUGAAACAAUAAUUGAGGAAUUAAUGCAAGAAGACGGCAUAUACGAUAUUCUAAUCAGUCGACAAGGAUUUGAGAAACGAGUUGUUUCACAGGACUUACAGCUUUGGUUGUCGAAUGCACCAGCUACUGGGGAUCAGUUUACUCUACUUGCUCGGGCUGGAAGACAGGUGCAAGAAAUACAACUGACAACAUCACUUGAUCAAGAAGGAAUAAAAAGGGCUCUGCAACGAGUCCUAGAACGUGUACCAUGAGUCAAAAUGCACGUACAACCCCAAUCUAAAGUUAACGGAGAAGUUCAGAUGGAUCGUUAUUUCAAGUUGUGCAGGCUUUGUACAGAACACUAAAACUACUUCAAAAAAUGUAUAAACAAAC